GUGGGUAGUUUGACUGGGGCGGUCUCCUCCUAAAGAGUAACGGAGGAGCACGAAGGUUGGCUAAUCCUGGUCGGACAUCAGGAGGUUAGUGCAAUGGCAUAAGCCAGCUUGACUGCGAGCGUGACGGCGCGAGCAGGUGCGAAAGCAGGUCAUAGUGAUCCGGUGGUUCUGAAUGGAAGGGCCAUCGCUCAACGGAUAAAAGGUACUCCGGGGAUAACAGGCUGAUACCGCCCAAGAGUUCAUAUCGACGGCGGUGUUUGGCACCUCGAUGUCGGCUCAUCACAUCCUGGGGCUGAAGUAGGUCCCAAGGGUAUGGCUGUUCGCCAUUUAAAGUGGUACGCGAGCUGGGUUUAGAACGUCGUGAGACAGUUCGGUCCCUAUCUGCCGUGGGC
This 392-nucleotide ribosomal RNA is filed under the name Salmonella enterica subsp. enterica serovar Muenchen. RNAcentral's name for it is "partial 23S ribosomal RNA". It matches the Rfam family "Bacterial large subunit ribosomal RNA", at positions 2261 to 2652 of the family's 2925-position model. The record is from RNAcentral. RNAcentral also lists the same sequence under 5 other names. Lineage: Bacteria; Pseudomonadati; Pseudomonadota; Gammaproteobacteria; Enterobacterales; Enterobacteriaceae.